GACCUCACCGUCCGGUUGCGGCACAAAGGGGCCCUGAGCCGCUCCCUGGCCACUGCACCUGGUGGUCACCUUGCGGGCGCCCGGCCCCAGCGUCCUCCCGGGAGGGGACUCCGCGCGCCCUGGAACCAGCCUUCGGUGCAUUCUUGGUGACAAGCUGGAAGCAGCUCUGCAGGCGGACAGCCCCGAGGGGCAGCGCGCCCACGCAGCCCGGCAGGGAAGGGGUGCUCAGCUCCAGGCUACUCGGCCCGGCCCGCUGGGCAUCCUCCUGAGGCCUGCGAGCCAGGUUGGUGCUGCUGUUCCCUCUUUGGAGUGGUUCUCAGCUACCCGGGAGAUGACAGUGGCCCCAGAAGAGAGUGCCAGGUGCAAGUGUGUGCCUUGCAGCCCUGGAGACACCGGAAGGGCCAGGGUUCUGGACAGCCUUCCGCCCCGUGAGUUCCAGUCUACACCGGCGGCAGCCCCACCCAGAGGCUUUCUGUCAUGGCUAGCUAGCUUGUCUCCUUUCUUUCUUUCUCUUUCCUCCUUCCGUACUGGAGAUUAAACCCAGGGCCUUCACUACAUCCCCAGCCCUUUUAAAGUUUUGAGACAGAGACUUGAUAAGUCAUUAAGUUACCCAGGCUGGGCACAAAACUUUGGUCCUCCUGCCUCAGCCUCCAGUGUGCUGGGGCAUUGUCUCAAAAUAAGAAAUAGAAUAGGGCUGAGGAUGGAAAGGCCCUGGGUUCAAUCCCCAAUGCUACAAAAAAAUAACUCACCCCCCCCCAAGUGCAAAUGCACCCCCAUUUCACAGAUGGGAAACUGAGGCUCUCAGAAGGGAGCCCUAGGAAGGAGUGAGGAGCUUUCUCUGCUGCCCCUGCUCCUGGGAGAGGUGGGCAGUUCCAGGGCCGGGGCACAGGGACCCAGGGGUCUGCCCAGCCCUGGUCUCCUCCCCACCCCGGUUCUGCUCAGGAAGUGUUGAAAGAAUGGAGCUUUCUGCCAGCUCCUUGGGGGAGGAGGAGGGCGAGGGCUGGGGACUCAGGCCGGGAGGAACACUGCGCUCCCAUAGGAGGCUGACAGUACUUUCUGUUUAAGUGAAGCCCGGAGCCCGCAGAGUCCUGGGCAUGGCCGUGACCCCAGGAAGAGACUUUCUCUAAGACGGGCUGGGCGGUGGCUGUUCCUAUGUGUCCUGGGGUGUCCACGGACUGGGGAGCGACCCAGACCUUGCCAGGCAGCCCCCUCCCCCUCCCUGGGGUGUGUCCUCACCCCUCAGCCUGAGGACAGAGGAGAGCCCUCCUGGGUAUUUGCUGGGGCCCCACCAGGCAGCACAUGACACCGGGUGACAACAUGGGGCUGAGGUGGCGCCACCUAGGAGGCUCAUGGGAGCCUGGGCUGUUCGGGGAGGGGAAGCUGGGCAUGGGGGCGCUGGGAGGGCCCUGGGAUCCCUGCAGCCUUCUCGGGGCAGCUCUGUGGUGCUCAGAAGGCAUGGUGAAGCUGCCCUGUGCCUGGGAGGUGGGUGGGCACCGGCUUGGGAGUCAGGUUGACCUGGCUCCUGUCUAAAGUGGGGACGCGGCCUCACUAGGCCUGGUGGUGAGGAAAUGAGGCCCCAAGCUCCCCAAAGUCUGGGGGUGUGGGGGAGGGAUCCUGCCCCUGCUUUCAAAUCCCGGAGAUAGACAGAAGCCAGGGCCAGGGCCUGAGCCACAGCCCUGACGCCAUCCUGGCACCUGUAAAUAAAGCGGCCUUGAAUCUUU
Heterocephalus glaber (naked mole-rat) is the source of this 1721-nucleotide non-coding RNA. Lineage: Eukaryota; Metazoa; Chordata; Mammalia; Rodentia; Bathyergidae. The record is from RefSeq and is a predicted model, not a curated record.